This 482-nucleotide ribosomal RNA is filed under the name uncultured bacterium. Its description in RNAcentral is "bacterial SSU rRNA". It matches the Rfam family "Bacterial small subunit ribosomal RNA", at positions 29 to 506 of the family's 1533-position model. The record is from RNAcentral.
UUGAACGCUGGCGGAAUGCUUUACACAUGCAAGUCGAGCGGCAGCGCGGGGGCAACCCUGGCGGCGAGCGGCGGACGGGUGAGUAAUGCAUCGGAACGUACCUAGUCGUGGGGGAUAACUAUCCGAAAGGAUAGCUAAUACCGCAUACGUCCUGAGGGAGAAAGCAGGGGAUCGCAAGACCUUGCGCGAUUAGAGCGGCCGAUGUCGGAUUAGCUAGUUGGUGGGGUAAAGGCCUACCAAGGCAACGAUCCGUAGCUGGUCUGAGAGGAUGAUCAGCCACACUGGGACUGAGACACGGCCCAGACUCCUACGGGAGGCAGCAGUGGGGAAUUUUGGACAAUGGGCGCAAGCCUGAUCCAGCCAUUCCGCGUGAGUGAAGAAGGCCUUCGGGUUGUAAAGCUCUUUCAGACGGAAAGAAAUCGGGCGCGUGAAUAGCGUGCCUGGAUGACGGUACUGUCAGAAGAAGCACCGGCUAACUACGU